CAACAAACAUAAAUAGUAACGUUACAAAUGGUCAAUAAAAGGCUAAGAAAUCAGGUCACACAGACUAGCAUUUACCUGCACCGUUCUUUGUUUCAUGGACACUCAAAAAUUACACUAAUGCCAUGUUUUAUAAAUGGUAUGGCUUACCUUUCAUAUGACCGGUCUGUUUGAGUGCCCACGAAAUGGUUGGCAGGUGCAGGUGUUCUGCUGGUGUCUGUGGUAUUCUGAUCCCGGACGAAGAGCCCCCAACUGUGGAAGUAGACAAAAAUAUUACCAGGUUCAAUAAAAAGCGUUUAAUUGACCAUUACAAUACACAGAGAUAUCUCAUGGAGAUUGGCAAGAAGCAAUCUAACAUCAUGUUACAAUUCCUCAUAUUUUAUACAUAUGACCCGGAACUGGCCUUUCGUUUAGCUUGAAUCAGAACUCCAAAUAUGGUCUUAUUUCCUAUUGGCUAAAUUCUAGCAUAACUGACAAAUUUAAGGUUCAAAAGUUUAAGCAUCCCAUGAUCUUUCUAACAGAUAACUUGACCCCAGUCAUGCAUCUUACUUCCCUAAAAUAUCGUUUGUCUAUGAUAAAAGUUAACACAUAUAAGCCUGACUUCCUCUUUCACAACUUAAGCACACAUUUCACCUUUCCCCCCCCUGGCAACAUCUGACAAGACACGCUUUCAAAAUAACCUUUCCUUUUGCAAUCCAAAAAACAGUCCAGACAUCCAUUUAUAAAUUGUAGCAAUAAAACAUAGUUUCUUCUUAUUUCUUAGAGUAAAUUUUCUUCUUUGAUUAUAUUUUAAGAUGAUGAAUAAACAGCAAAAUGGCUGACAGCAUGUCAGUAGCAGGUUUCAUAUGUUCACA
This 851-nucleotide long non-coding RNA is filed under the name Pelobates cultripes (western spadefoot toad). Lineage: Eukaryota; Metazoa; Chordata; Amphibia; Anura; Pelobatidae. The record is from RNAcentral.